Molecule: unclassified non-coding RNA, 655 nt
Filed under: Russowia sogdiana
Lineage: Eukaryota; Viridiplantae; Streptophyta; Magnoliopsida; Asterales; Asteraceae
Description: partial external transcribed spacer
Source: RNAcentral
UACCUUGAACAUGGACAUAUGGGCAACAUUGGCCAAUGAAUUGGGCGUUGUGGCCUUUGCAACGCUACUGAGGCCAAACGGCUUGCUGAUCCAUGUUUACAACAUGGUGUUGCAGGCCGAGGCAAAUCGGCCCGUAUUUGCUAGUUUUCUUUGUUACUUUCGCAUCGUUCGGUGCAUUCUGGGGACUGUCUUGGCUUUUGGUUGCUUGCUUGGCUUUUCGCUGGGUGGGUCGCUUCUAGUCGGGUGGUUGGUGUUUGGUUUGUUACGGGUGGUUGGCUGUCUGCUUGCGCAGCAACGUCCACGCGUGCAUACCUCUUUAGUUUUGCAUCAAGGCUUCGAUUGCCUUGAGCGUCUUGUGGGUUUCCUGUGUUGCAUACCUAAUCGAUGGUAACGGGUUGCUUUAUGAUGUGCCUUUUCAUCAUGCAUCGCUCAUGCGGUGUGGGAUGAACCUUGAAGCGAUCUUUGUAGUCCAUCUUGUCGUUCCAUUUUCAACGAUGAUGUGGCGUAUGAAGUAUUGCUUGGUCUCUUGUAUACGGAACCUGAUGUGGGCAUGGGUCUUACAAGACCUUGAAUCUGCCCUCGUUAAGCGUUUUCGCUUCUCCAAAACGAUUGUCUGCCAUGUCUUGGCUUGUCCUUGCAUGGUAGGCUACGUCGA